GAACGAACGCUGGCGGCAGGCUUAACACAUGCAAGUCGAACGGGCCCUUCGGGGUCAGUGGCAGACGGGUGAGUAACGCGUGGGAACGUGCCCUUCAGUUCGGAAUAACCCAGGGAAACUUGGGCUAAUACCGGAUACGUGCGAGAGCAGAAAGAUUUAUCGCUGAAGGAUCGGCCCGCGUCUGAUUAGCUAGUUGGUAGGGUAAUGGCCUACCAAGGCGACGAUCAGUAGCUGGUCUGAGAGGAUGAUCAGCCACAUUGGGACUGAGACACGGCCCAAACUCCUACGGGAGGCAGCAGUGGGGAAUAUUGGACAAUGGGCGCAAGCCUGAUCCAGCCAUGCCGCGUGAGUGAUGAAGGCCUUAGGGUUGUAAAGCUCUUUCGUCCGGGACGAUAAUGACGGUACCGGAAGAAGAAGCCCCGGCUAACUUCGUGCCAGCAGCCGCGGUAAUACGAAGGGGGCUAGCGUUGUUCGGAAUCACUGGGCGUAAAGGGCGCGUAGGCGGCUUUGUAAGUCGGGGGUGAAAGCCUGUGGCUCAACCACAGAAUUGCCUUCGAUACUGCAUGGCUUGAGACCGGAAGAGGUAAGUGGAACUGCGAGUGUAGAGGUGAAAUUCGUAGAUAUUCGCAAGAACACCAGUGGCGAAGGCGGCUUACUGGUCCGGUUCUGACGCUGAGGCGCGAAAGCGUGGGGAGCAAAC
RNAcentral lists this ribosomal RNA (700 nucleotides) under uncultured Alphaproteobacteria bacterium. RNAcentral's name for it is "bacterial SSU rRNA". It matches the Rfam family "Bacterial small subunit ribosomal RNA", at positions 27 to 773 of the family's 1533-position model. The record is from RNAcentral. Lineage: Bacteria; Pseudomonadati; Pseudomonadota; Alphaproteobacteria.